Molecule: long non-coding RNA, 1363 nt
Organism: Patella vulgata (common limpet)
Lineage: Eukaryota; Metazoa; Mollusca; Gastropoda; Patellidae
Exons: 2
Source: RefSeq, a predicted model, not a curated record
UCAACAAAAUGAAAUGGAAUGGGGUUUCACGUCCUACUUUUCUGCUCCGACUGGGCUGUCUAUUAUCUCCAGCUCGAUGCUUUGUUUGUGAAUGAUAUAAAACCAGAUAAAACGCGCAGUAAAGCUAUGAGUUCUACAGACCGAGCUUUACAGUUGACAAGAAGACGGUUUCUAAAUAUGAGGACUAUAACAGUCUCCGUAUGCUUUCUGGUAUGUGCUGUAGUACUAGCUGAAGAUCACAGCGCCUCCACAGACGAUGACCGAGAACUUUCUCGACAGAAGAGGCAGUAUGGAAGCUACGGUAGCAGCGGUUAUGGAGGUGGCAGCGCAUAUGGGAGUAGUGGCGGUUAUGGAAGUAGCAGCGGUUAUGGAGGUAGUAGCGCUUAUGGGGGUAGUAGCGGCGGAUAUCAACAAUACGACUUAGAUCAUCAAGAGGCGGCAAACAGAUAUCAACAAAAUAAAGUCGAUGCCGCCCAGCGCUACCAACAGGACCUUUACCAAAACGAACAAGAGAUGGCAGAAGCUGAACGCCAGUACGAACAAGCCAAAUAUGAUGCCGCUAAUGGUAAUACCCGCGUAAGACGAAAUGCUAUGGAUGAUGAUGACGACGAUGAUGAUCUCGUUAGACGGAAGAGACAGGCUUAUGGUGCUGGUGGGUAUGGCGCUGUCGCCGAUGGUGGAUAUGGAGGAGGUUACGGUGGUGGUUAUGGCAACGCCGGAUAUGGCGCUGUUGCUGAUGGCGGCUAUGGCGGUGGGUAUGGCGGUGGGGGAUAUCAGGCAGGGUACGGAGGAGGUGCAUAUCAGGGGGGCUACGGUGGUGAUCCGGCUGCUGCCAACCAACAAGCAUAUGGUGGAUACGGUCGAUAGUCUCUUUCAGAAGAGGUCCGCUCCAACUUUUUAAAAUGUUUAUAAUAUUUCUACUAUGAUAAUUCCUAAUAUUGCACUUUGUAUUUAGGCUUCGCUUGUUUUCUAAGAUUGCAAUGUUUUUCUAUACACGUAAUGCUACUUUCAAAUAGGACAGACAUUUCGUACUUUGAAUUAUAAUUGCUUUAUAUUUACGCUUCGCUUGUUUUCUAAGAUUACAUUUGUUCCUAUUCAUGUUAUGCUACUUUCAAUUAGGGCAGACAUUUCGUACUUUGAAUUAUAAUUUCUUUGUAUUUCGGCCACGGUAUUAUCUUACUAUGGUUAUUAUGUUAAAUUGCUUUCUAGUUUUAUUUAUCUUGUGAAGUUAUUCUCUUCUGGUGACACCUCGAGUAGAUAGAUGUACACAAGCUCUGUUUAGUAUAACAAACUCUGGCAAUCUUGUAGACGAGAAAGUCCACGUUAAUUCAUAUUCACACCACACUCCAUGAUAGAAAACUAU